Molecule: ribosomal RNA, 253 nt
Filed under: uncultured bacterium
Lineage: Bacteria
Description: partial 16S ribosomal RNA
Rfam family: Bacterial small subunit ribosomal RNA
Source: RNAcentral
UACGGAGGGUGCAAGCGUUUUCCGGAUUCACUGGGUUUAAAGGGUGCGUAGGCGGGCAUUUAAGUCAGUGGUGAAAUCUCCAAGCUUAACUUGGAAACUGCCGUUGAUACUAUCUGUCUUGAAUGUUGUGGAGGUGAGCGGAAUAUGUCAUGUAGCGGUGAAAUGCUUAGAGAUGACAUAGAACACCGAUUGCGAAGGCAGCUCACUACACAAAUAUUGACGCUGAGGCACGAAAGCGUGGGGAUCAAACAGG